UGUGUGUGUGUGUGUGUGGAUGUACUCUUUAUGAGCUUUUGUAAGUUGUAUGGUAUUCGAUGAAUGUACGUUAUCGAAUGAAAUAUCUUGGGAGAGAUA
This is a non-coding RNA of Arachis ipaensis, 99 nucleotides long. The record is from RefSeq and is a predicted model, not a curated record. NCBI's taxonomy places the organism in Eukaryota, Viridiplantae, Streptophyta, Magnoliopsida, Fabales, Fabaceae.